GGACAGUGACGAAUUCUUGUGAAAGGUCUCGUUCGUCGUAAUUGGCUUCGGCCUUGCCGACCAUCCUGCUAUAUCACCACCCAUAUUCUGAGUCC
Small nucleolar RNA from Tripterygium wilfordii, 95 nucleotides. RefSeq annotates it as small nucleolar RNA Z43. Lineage: Eukaryota; Viridiplantae; Streptophyta; Magnoliopsida; Celastrales; Celastraceae. The transcript has a single exon. The record is from RefSeq and is a predicted model, not a curated record.